Molecule: long non-coding RNA, 780 nt
Organism: Pan troglodytes (chimpanzee)
Lineage: Eukaryota; Metazoa; Chordata; Mammalia; Primates; Hominidae
Exons: 3
Source: RefSeq, a predicted model, not a curated record
GAAGCCAAAGGUGCGGGUGGGAGGCUGGAGGAAGGGACCCGCCUUGGUGAGUGAGGAGAAAGGUUAGGGAAGGCUGUCCUGAGAAAGUGACAUUUGAGGCAACAUCUGUUACAGAAGGAGGAAUAGGAGAUAACCAGAUUCACCUGACCUUGAACUCACUGAUGACAUGGUAUCGAUUGCACCACCACCUGCAGUCCCGCAGCAGCAGCUGCCAGCAGAAGCCAUGCUAACAGAACUCACAGAGAGGGUAGACAAGAGGUACAGCUGAGAUCGUGGAAGUGGAAGCUUUCUAUGGAUUUGCUGGACUGAGCUGGGGGUUCCUGGGCUAGGUGCCUUCAGCUGCACUUGUAGCAACAAGGAGAGGCUGAGGCAAGGCCAGAGGGCAUUCAAGUGACACUCAUGCCACCUGGGAGCUGCCACCUGGCCUUCCUUCAUCUGUGAUUGGCCAGCGUUAGGAAGAAAAGCCAGAAUGUGAAAUUUACAAAUGGUUUGUCGAGGGAGGGAACUGGGGGACAUCCAAGUUAGAAGAGGUUGGCAAAGGGUAAAAUGAAUCGCCAACCAAAAUAUAAGGCAACAGUGGGCAGGAGGUCUGGGCUGCACAGAUGACAAGCUGGCCCUUGAAGUGGCUGCGCCAAAGAGAAAGGGGAAGAAGUGCCAAGAAUGGAAAAUCAGUGGGAAAUUUAAAAGUUGAAUUAGAAAAUCUGAAAUGAAAGUGGCAUCAGAGAAUAAGAGAAGGCUUUCUGUUAUAUUGGAAUUAAAGAGACAGAGCUUGUGAUUCUC